AUUGAACGCUGGCGGCAUGCCUUACACAUGCAAGUCGAACGGUAACAGGUCUUCGGAUGCUGACGAGUGGCGAACGGGCGAGUAAUACAUCGGAACGUGCCUAGUAGUGGGGGAUAACUACUCGAAAGAGUGGCUAAUACCGCAUGAGAUCUACGGAUGAAAGCAGGGGAUCGCAAGACCUAGUGCUACUAGAGCGGCCGAUGGCAGAUUAGGUAGUUGGUGGGAUAAAAGCUUACCAAGCCGACGAUCUGUAGCUGGUCUGAGAGGACGAUCAGCACACUGGGACUGAGACACGGCCCAGACUCCUACGGGAGGCAGCAGUGGGGAAUUUUGGACAAUGGGCGCAAGCCUGAUCCAGCAAUGCCGCGUGCAGGAUGAAGGCCUUCGGGUUGUAAACUGCUUUUGUACGGAACGAAAAGCCCCGGGUUAAUACCCUGGGUUCAUGACGGUACCGUAAGAAUAAGCACCGGCUAACUACGUGCCAGCCGCCGCCGUAA
Molecule: ribosomal RNA, 497 nt
Filed under: uncultured bacterium
Lineage: Bacteria
Description: partial 16S ribosomal RNA
Rfam family: Bacterial small subunit ribosomal RNA
Source: RNAcentral